AUUGAACGCUGGCGGCAGGCCUAACACAUGCAAGUCGAACGAGUGGCGGACGGGUGAGUAAUGUCUGGGAAACUGCCCGAUGGAGGGGAAUAACUCCUGGAAACGGUAGCUAAUACCGCAUACCAUCGGAUGUGCCCAGCUGGGAUUAGCUAGUUGGUGGGGUAACGGCCUACCUAGGCGACGAUCCCUAGCUGGUCUGAGAGGAUGACCAGCCACACUGGAACUGAGACACGGUCCAGAGUCCUACGGGAGGCAGCAGUGGGGAAUAGUGCACAAUGGGGGCAAGCCUGAUGCAGCCAUGCCGCGUGUAUGAAGAAGGCCUUCGGGUUGUAAAGUACUUUUGGCGAGGAGGCGUUACUCGCAGAAGAAGCACCGGCUAACUCCGUGCCAGCAGCCGCGGUAAUAC
RNAcentral lists this ribosomal RNA (406 nucleotides) under uncultured bacterium. RNAcentral describes it as "partial 16S ribosomal RNA". It matches the Rfam family "Bacterial small subunit ribosomal RNA", at positions 30 to 526 of the family's 1533-position model. The record is from RNAcentral.